CAUGUCUCGAAUUUGAUGUCUUCAAACAUUGUCCAGACAUUGGGAACCAUGCUUGACACAGUUGACUUCUGAUGUUCGUGUCUCGAAGGUCUGCAAAAACUGUGUUUGAAGUCGUGAAAUAGGAACCUGUUUUUUGCUCUCUUUUUUUCCUGAAUGUAACCAGUACCUUCAUUUCAACUCUGUGAUAGCAGCUGUCUUCUGAUGUUCGUGUCUCGAAAAUCUGCAAAAAUUGUGUUUGAAGUCAUGAAAUAGGAACAUGUUUUUUGCGCUCUAUUUUUUCCUGAAUGUGACCAGUACCUUCAUUUCAACUCUGUGAUAGCAGCUGUUAUUCUAUAUGUUUAUGUUAUCUUAAGAUGAGUUCUGACUUACUGUGAUCAUCUUCCACUGAACCAUUUUCCAAAUUCAGUGCCUCCCAGCAGUGGGGGCGCUUUAAAAAU
This 437-nucleotide long non-coding RNA is filed under the name Nicotiana benthamiana. RNAcentral's name for it is "long non-coding RNA (NBEN_LNC036992)". The record is from RNAcentral. Lineage: Eukaryota; Viridiplantae; Streptophyta; Magnoliopsida; Solanales; Solanaceae.